This 253-nucleotide ribosomal RNA is filed under the name uncultured bacterium. RNAcentral's name for it is "partial 16S ribosomal RNA". It matches the Rfam family "Bacterial small subunit ribosomal RNA", at positions 524 to 776 of the family's 1533-position model. The record is from RNAcentral.
UACGAAGGGGGCUAGCGUUGCUCGGAAUUACUGGGCGUAAAGGGAGCGUAGGCGGACAGUUUAGUCAGAGGUGAAAGCCCAGGGCUCAACCCUGGAAUUGCCUUUGAUACUGACUGUCUUGAGUGUGGGAGAGGUGUGUGGAACUCCGAGUGUAGAGGUGAAAUUCGUAGAUAUUCGGAGGAACACCAGUGGCGAAGGCGGCUCACUGGCUCGAUACUGACGCUGAGGUGCGAAAGCGUGGGGAGCAAACAGG